Molecule: long non-coding RNA, 433 nt
Filed under: Volvox carteri
Lineage: Eukaryota; Viridiplantae; Chlorophyta; Chlorophyceae; Chlamydomonadales; Volvocaceae
Description: long non-coding RNA (VCAR_LNC002632)
Source: RNAcentral
CCCCGGGGUAGGGGUAACCCCUUACCGAGGGGUAACAAAGGGGUCGGGCUAAUACACUACUGAUGGGCAACAGACAGGGUAACCCAUGUUUACAUUCACCUGCGCCUGUCUACACACGCAAACAUACAUGUCUUCACCAAUCACUUGUGAAUGCCCAAUUAUCAAGAUUGCUGCACCAAAACAUGCCUUGUUUAGAAACCUAAACCUAAGGAUAUGGCACACAGCUGCAGCCUAGAUGCAAGGAGGCGGACGAACAGGCGUACAUAGGCGGAGCAAAUUGGGGACCACGAGAAGCCGCCAGCAAAGCUAAAAAUAUUCCUAUCAAAAAAUCCAGGCACUUAUCGCUGCUGCUAAAACUUGCAGAGCAGCCAACGGGCUGCAAUGUAAGGUCGGCCAGUAGCUUAAGUGCUCCGUCUCGACCUGCUAAUUCCAG